RNAcentral lists this long non-coding RNA (511 nucleotides) under Eucalyptus grandis. RNAcentral describes it as "long non-coding RNA (EGRA_LNC006650)". Lineage: Eukaryota; Viridiplantae; Streptophyta; Magnoliopsida; Myrtales; Myrtaceae. The record is from RNAcentral.
CCAGGCAAAUCAGUCCAGGCAAGAAUUUGCGGGCUCCACUAAACGGCCGAUCUUUCUCGGCCCAUCGAGCCCGAAGUCGUCGGCCCGGCCCGUCUCUCUCGUACUGCUUUUUGCUCGCGGCUCACCUCCUGCUUCCCUCUUCACCAUUUUCGCCACUUGCAAUCGACGAGCACAGAGGCGGUCGCGCUUGCUAAUCUCGCCGAAGAAAGCUCAGAUCGCCGUCCAAUCGGACGUGCUUCCGAUCACCUGCGCCGGCCUACGGCGGCCUCGCCCCUGAUCAUGGCGGAAGCCUCGACCUCGAAACCGAAGCCUCGACCGAUCGUUCGGCUGGGGACUCUGCUCAUAUCUCACAGCGUCCUCGUCAGGUACCGCAGUAGCUUCUCGGUCUUUGAUUAUCUCUGCUCGUUGUUAUUCGAGCGAAUCUGUUCCGGCGACUCGAGCGCGAGCUCACACGCGCUUUUUCGACCUUGUGGACUUCUUCGCAGUGUCGUCUGCUGCGUUUCUGGGGUUC